RNAcentral lists this ribosomal RNA (492 nucleotides) under uncultured bacterium. Its description in RNAcentral is "bacterial SSU rRNA". It matches the Rfam family "Bacterial small subunit ribosomal RNA", at positions 30 to 521 of the family's 1533-position model. The record is from RNAcentral.
AUUGAACGCUGGCGGAAUGCUUUACACAUGCAAGUCGAACGGUAGAGGGGGCAACCCCUUGAGAGUGGCGAACGGGUGAGUAAUAUAUCGGAACGUGCCCAGUCGUGGGGAUAACGUAGCGAAAGUUACGCUAAUACCGCAUACGAUCUAAGGAUGAAAGCGGGGGAUCGCAAGACCUCGCGCGAUUGGAGCGGCCGAUAUCAGAUUAGGUAGUUGGUGAGGUAAAGGCUCACCAAGCCAACGAUCUGUAGCUGGUCUGAGAGGACGACCAGCCACACUGGAACUGAGACACGGUCCAGACUCCUACGGGAGGCAGCAGUGGGGAAUUUUGGACAAUGGACGCAAGUCUGAUCCAGCCAUUCCGCGUGCAGGAUGAAGGCCCUCGGGUUGUAAACUGCUUUUGUACGGAACGAAAGGUUUGUCUUAAUACGAUGAGCUCAUGACGGUACCGUAAGAAUAAGCACCGGCUAACUACGUGCCAGCAGCCGCGGU